This 450-nucleotide ribosomal RNA is filed under the name uncultured bacterium. RNAcentral describes it as "bacterial SSU rRNA". It matches the Rfam family "Bacterial small subunit ribosomal RNA", at positions 354 to 796 of the family's 1533-position model. The record is from RNAcentral.
GUGGGGAAUUUUGGACAAUGGGCGCAAGCCUGAUCCAGCAAUGCCGCGUGCAGGAAGAAGGCCUUCGGGUUGUAAACUGCUUUUGUACGGAACGAAACGGUCCGGGUUAAUACCCUGGGCUAAUGACGGUACCGUAAGAAUAAGCACCGGCUAACUACGUGCCAGCAGCCGCGGUAAUACGUAGGGUGCAAGCGUUAAUCGGAAUUACUGGGCGUAAAGCGUGCGCAGGCGGGUUUGUAAGACAGGCGUGAAAUCCCCGGGCUCAACCUGGGAAUUGCGCUUGUGACUGCAAGGCUGGAGUGCGGCAGAGGGGGAUGGAAUUCCGCGUGUAGCAGUGAAAUGCGUAGAUAUGCGGAGGAACACCGAUGGCGAAGGCAAUCCCCUGGGCCUGCACUGACGCUCAUGCACGAAAGCGUGGGGAGCAAACAGGAUUAGAAACCCCAGUAGUCC